GAUGAAGAACGUAGCGAAAUGCAAUAAGUAAUGUGAAUUGCAGAAUUCAGUGAAUCAUCGAAUCUUUGAACGCACAUUGCGCCCGCCAGUAUUCUGGCGGGCAUGCCUGUCCGAGCGUCAUUUCAACCAUCAAGCCCCGGGCUUGUGUUGGGGACCUGCGUCCGACGCAGGCCCUGAAAACCAGUGGCGGGCUCGCUGUCCACACCGAGCGUAGUAACUAACCUCGCUAUGGAGUGGCGCGGGCGCCUGCCGUAAAACCCCCAAUUUCACAAGGUUGACCUCGGAUCAGGUAGGAAUACCCGCUGAACUUAAGCAUAUCAAUAAGCGGAGGA
RNAcentral lists this unclassified non-coding RNA (332 nucleotides) under soil metagenome. Its description in RNAcentral is "partial contains 5.8S ribosomal RNA, internal transcribed spacer 2, and large subunit ribosomal RNA". The stretch from base 1 to 120 matches the Rfam family "5.8S ribosomal RNA", at positions 35 to 154 of the family's 154-position model. The record is from RNAcentral.